ACUACGGGAGGCUGCAGUGAGGAAUAUUGGUCAAUGGGCGCGAGCCUGAACCAGCCAAGUCGCGUGAGGGAAGACGGUCCUAUGGAUUGUAAACCUCUUUUGUCGGGGAGCAAAAGACGCCACGCGUGGCGUUCCGAGAGUACCCGAAGAAAAAGCAUCGGCUAACUCCGUGCCAGCAGCCGCGGUAAUACGGAGGAUGCGAGCGUUAUCCGGAUUUAUUGGGUUUAAAGGGUGCGCAGGCGGAAGAUCAAGUCAGCGGUAAAAUUGAGAGGCUCAACCUCUUCGAGCCGUUGAAACUGGUUUUCUUGAGUGAGCGAGAAGUAUGCAGAAGGCGUGGUGUAGCGGUGAAAUGCAUAGAUAUCACGCAGAACUCCGAUUGCGAAGGCAGCAUACCGGCGCUCAACUGACGCUCAUGCACGAAAGUGUGGGUAUCGAACAGGAUUAGAUACCCGGGUAGUC
This 459-nucleotide ribosomal RNA is filed under the name uncultured bacterium. RNAcentral describes it as "partial 16S ribosomal RNA". It matches the Rfam family "Bacterial small subunit ribosomal RNA", at positions 338 to 795 of the family's 1533-position model. The record is from RNAcentral.